GUUCUUUUAUUCUUCAAUGGCAUGCAGUAGAAAUUGUAGCUAACAGGCAAAUAUAUAUAUAUAUAUAUAAAAUAGGGAUGUGAGAUGGCUCAGAGAACCUAAGAAUGAGCUUCAGCAAGGACAGGAACUCUGAACCAUCCAGAAUCUAGACAGCAAGAACUCAUAGUCCACUUAGGGUGCUGCCACUGAGAUUCAGAUUUCCUGGAGAGAGAGUCCAGUUGGCCUCUGAGUUAGGUGCCCUGAUUUCGACAAGGGAGGACUAUGCGCCUUGACUCUAAAGUCUCCCUAAGACUACAUGCAAAGCAGCUGAACAGUUCUUGAAAGUAAAAUGAAAUGCACUGCCAGAUGAAGACAAUUCAGGACAGUCAAAUACAACAAUGUGCUCUACAAAAUUUAAACAGCUUAAUCUUAGAAAAAUAAGAUAAAUCAAUCAAUGGCUCAAGUCCCCCAGUGGUGUGGGCAUGGAGGCCCCAACUGCCAUUUCCCUCCUUACACCCCUCCCAAUGGGUGACAGUUGGAAAGUAACUAGAGGCAAAGGAUACGGAUUAUGCAAAGAAGGAAGGAGAGUCUGAGAAGAAGGGCUUUUUUGGAAGGAGGGUUGCCAGGCCUGGAACAAGCACAUGCCUAGAGGAAAAUCCCAUACUACAUACAAGGAGGAAGCCCAGGCCAGCAGUCAAUGAAUACUCAGAUCAAGUGUCUGUCUGGAAAGCUGGCAGUCUUCCAGAAAUACAAUUAGGGCCCAUUCCAGUGGAACAGAAGUGCUACUUUGGGGGUGGACUGAAACAAGUUGCUGGGCUUCCAUUGGCCAUUGCCACUUGCUUGUCGUUGUGAGGAGGGGCCGUGCCUCCACAGGCCCAUACCUGUAACCUGACGAUACUGUUGUGAGCGGGAAUGGAGGAAGUGCAUGGAAGCCCCUCAGCACGAUGCAUAGUGAACAGACAAGCUGUGAACCUUGGGAGUUAUCACCAUGUGUGAUGAUGCUGGUGAAGAAAGCCUGCACUGAGGAGGCUGUCAGCCUGGGUUUGAAUCCCCUCAUUUGGAAUAUAAUCUUGG
Molecule: long non-coding RNA, 1053 nt
Filed under: Homo sapiens (human)
Lineage: Eukaryota; Metazoa; Chordata; Mammalia; Primates; Hominidae
Description: HSALNT0359095
Source: RNAcentral